UACGGAGGGUGCGAGCGUUGUCCGGAAUCAUUGGGCGUAAAGGGUCCGCAGGUGGCAAUGUGUGUCUGCUGUCAAAGAAUGAGGCUUAACCUCAUCAAGGCAGUGGAAACUACAUAGCUAGAGUACGGUCGGGGUAGAAGGAAUUCCUGGUGUAGCGGUGAAAUGCGUAGAGAUCAGGAAGAACACCGGUGGCGAAAGCGUUCUGCUAGACCUGUACUGACACUGAGGGACGAAAGCUAGGGGAGCGAAUGGG
RNAcentral lists this ribosomal RNA (253 nucleotides) under uncultured bacterium. RNAcentral's name for it is "partial 16S ribosomal RNA". It matches the Rfam family "Bacterial small subunit ribosomal RNA", at positions 524 to 776 of the family's 1533-position model. The record is from RNAcentral.